RNAcentral lists this unclassified non-coding RNA (159 nucleotides) under Candidatus Phytoplasma meliae. RNAcentral's name for it is "partial 16S-23S ribosomal RNA intergenic spacer". The stretch from base 66 to 139 matches the Rfam family "tRNA". Lineage: Bacteria; Bacillati; Mycoplasmatota; Mollicutes; Acholeplasmatales; Acholeplasmataceae. The record is from RNAcentral.
CUAAGGAAAAAGUUAUCAUCUUCAGUUUUGAGAGACUUAAAAAAGUUUUUCAUUUUUUAAGAUUAGGGCCUAUAGCUCAGUUGGUUAGAGCACACGCCUGAUAAGCGUGAGGUCGGUGGUUCAAGUCCAUUUAGGCCCACCAAAAUAGGUCACAUCUUA